GGGUCAGUAGGUUGGUCGUGCCACCGGUACGUACUGGUCUCACUGAUUCCUCCUUCCUGAAGAACCGUAAUGCCAUUAAUUUGGUGUUGCGGGGAAACAGGACUGUUACUUUGAAAAAAUUAGAGUGUUUAAAGCAAGCUAACGCUUGAAUACAUUAGCAUGGAAUAAUGGAAUAGGACGAUCGAUCCAAUUUUGUUGGUUUCUAGGAUUGACGUA
This 216-nucleotide ribosomal RNA is filed under the name Glomeromycotina sp. Its description in RNAcentral is "partial small subunit ribosomal RNA". The stretch from base 40 to 216 matches the Rfam family "Eukaryotic small subunit ribosomal RNA", at positions 686 to 864 of the family's 1831-position model. Lineage: Eukaryota; Fungi; Glomeromycota. The record is from RNAcentral.